AACGAACGUUUGGCGGCGUGGAUUAGGCGAUGCAAGUCGAACGCGAAAGGGGUAGCAAUACCCCGNGUAAAGUGGCGAACGGGUGAGUAACGCGUAGGAAACCUGCCUUCGAGUGGGGGAUAACAUUCCUAACGGGAUGCUAAUACCGCAUGUGACUGCGUGAUCGCAUGGUUGUGCAGUCAAAGGUGGCCUCUGUUUACAAGCUACCGCUCAAAGAUCGGUCCUGCGUCCCAUUAGCUAGUUGGUGGGUAACGGCCUACCAAGGCGACGAUGGGUAGCCGAUCUGAGAGGAUGACCGGCCACACUGGGACUGAGAUACGGCCCAGACUCCGUACGGGAGGCAGCAGUCGAGAGGCUUCGGACAAGUCGGGGAAACCUGACCGAGCGACGCCGCGUGGGGGAUGAAGGCCUUUGGGUUGUAAACCCCCUGUCAUGAGGGAAGAAACGUCACCGUUCGAAUAGGGCGGUGACUUGACGGUACCUCAAGAGGAAGCUCCGGCUAACUCCGUG
This 510-nucleotide ribosomal RNA is filed under the name uncultured bacterium. Its description in RNAcentral is "bacterial SSU rRNA". It matches the Rfam family "Bacterial small subunit ribosomal RNA", at positions 29 to 507 of the family's 1533-position model. The record is from RNAcentral.